CUGUAUUGAUUCAUUGGAAUGUAAGGCUGUAUCGGUUUAUUGGAAUGUAAAGGUGUAUUGAUUUAUUGGAAUGUAAGGCUGCAUUGAUUCAUUGGAAUAUAAGGCUGUAUUGAUUUAUUGGAAUGUAAGGCUGUAUUGAUUCAUUGGAAUGUAAGGCUGAAUUGAUUCAUUAGAAUGUUAGGCUGUAUUGAUCCACUUGAAAUGUAAGGCUGUAUUGAUUCAUUGGAAUGUAAGGCUGUAUUGAUUCUUUGGAAUGUAAGGCUGUAUUGAUUCAUUGGAAUGUAAGGCUGUAUUGAUUCAUUGGAAUGUAAGGCUGUAUUGAUUUAUUGAAAUGUUAGGCUGUAUUGAUUCAU
This 353-nucleotide long non-coding RNA is filed under the name Mytilus galloprovincialis (Mediterranean mussel). The record is from RNAcentral. Lineage: Eukaryota; Metazoa; Mollusca; Bivalvia; Mytilida; Mytilidae.